Molecule: ribosomal RNA, 503 nt
Filed under: Starmerella bacillaris
Lineage: Eukaryota; Fungi; Ascomycota; Dipodascomycetes; Dipodascales; Trichomonascaceae
Description: eukaryotic LSU rRNA
Rfam family: Eukaryotic large subunit ribosomal RNA
Source: RNAcentral
UUGCAGCAUAUCAAAAAGCGGAGGAAAAGAAACCAACAGGGAUUGCCCUAGUAACGGCGAGUGAACAGGCAAGAGCUCAGAUUUGAAAGGCACUUUUGUGCCGUUGUAUUCUGAAGUUAGGGUCCUGAGAAACGAUGCUUAAGUCUUCUGGAAAGGAGCGCCAUGGAGGGUGAUAGCCCCGUCUAGCAUUGACCUCAUAUAGGAUCUUAACAUGGAGUCGAGUUGUUUGGGAAUGCAGCUCAAAUGGGUGGUAUGCUCCAUCUAAAGCUAAAUAUCUGCGAGAGACCGAUAGUAAACAAGUACUGUGAGGGAAAGAUGAAAAGAACUUUGAAAAGAGAGUGAAAAAGUACGUGAAAUUGUUGAAAUGGAAGGGUAGGCCGCUAACCAUGUAGAGCCGUGUUUGGGGGGAAGAUAAAUGCUGUAGAAUGUAGCUCCUCGGAGUAUUAUAGAUGCAGUUCAUAUUCCCACCCGAGCGCGAGGAUCUCAGUCACUAAAAAGCCGGG